GAUAAUCCGAAUGCAUCUUCAAAGCAGAUUGUGCCAAAGAAGGGAAUGAGUUUUGAUUCUGAAGAAGAGGCAUACAAGUUCUAUAACGCGUAUGCCAAAAGUAAAGGAUUUAGUGUCAGAUGGACACACAGAAAAGCAAGAGCAGAUGAUACCUUAUCUGCUAGGUAUUUAGUUUGCAGUAAGGAAGGAGUAAAGGGUAAACAUAGCACACAUGAGACGAGGAAAGAACGGGCUUCUACGAGGACAGAUUGCAAAGCUCGUGUUCAGUUCCAUAUUACUCCGGCGGGUGUUUGGUUGAUUCAGAAGGCUGUCAAUGAGCACAAUCAUCACAUGGUAUCUCCGGACAAGGCACACAUGUUAAGAUCACAACGACAGCUACUAGAUGUCGAUAAACACAUGAUCAACCACAUGCGGUCAGCAGGUAUACGACCAUCAAAAAUAUAUAAUUAUUUUGAAGAAUGGUGUGCAGGAGCACAAAAUGUGCCUUUCUUGGAGAUGGAUUCCAAUAACUAUAUAACAAGAGAGCAUAGCAAGUAUUUGGAGACCAAAGAUGCCCAAACUCUCAUGGAGUAUUUAAAGAACAAACAAGUGGAAGAUCCAUCAUUUUUCUAUGCUGUGCAACUUAAUAAAGAGGAUGGUACACUAGCAAAUUUCUUCUGGGCUGAUGGACAAUCAAUAAUGGAUUAUUCUUCGUUUGGAGAUGUUAUUUCUUUUGACACCACAUUCUCCACCAAUAAGUUUGAAAUGCCAUUUGCUCCUCUGCUUGGUGUUAACCAUCACAAGCAGACUAUUGUUUUCGGUGCUGCAAUAAUAUUUGAUGAAACUGCCGACUCGUUUGUGUGGCUUUUCAGCACCUUCCUACAAGCAAUGUCCGGUAAGGAGCCAAAAACAAUUUUCACUGAUCAGUGUGUUGCAAGUAUGAAUGCAAUUGCAGAGGUAUUCCCGAGCGCAAGCCAUCGCCUUUGUCUAUGGCAUCUAUAUCAAAAUGCCGUUAAACAUCUGAGUCAUGUUAUUGCUGACCAUCCGGAAUUUCUUUCUGAACUCAAGCAGUGUGUAUAUGAAGAAAGGUCAGUUGCACAUUUUGAAUCAAGAUGGCAUGAUUUAUUGGUUAAAUACAGCCUUGAGGAUAAUUCUUGGAUUAACAAUAUGUUCAAAUUUCGUGAGCAGUGGGCAACCGUAUAUAGGCGAGAUUCAUUUAGUGCAGACAUGACAUCGACCCAGAGGAGUGAAGGGAUGAACAAUGCCUUCAAAACAACAUUCAAUGGAAAACUCUCGCUUUCAGAGUUGCUAGAAAAAUAUGACAAGUGUGUCGCACGUCUUCGACGCGAAGAAAAAUAUGAAGAUUUUCAAUCGCGCCAUACAGACCCAGUGCUUUGCAUAGCUAGACAUCCUUUGUUGAAGGAGGCAGCUGCAUCAUACACGAGGUCACUCUAUACUUAUUUUGAAGAGGAAUUUCAGAGGCAGUUUACUUGGUCAUGCACUCUGUUGUGUAAUGAAAGCACAAUCAACACGUACAAAGUUAAAUCCUUUUAUCGAGAGGAUGGUGAAGCCAUUGUCGAUUUUAACCCAACAACUUUGGAGAUAUCUUGUUCUUGCAAGUUGUAUGGAUGUGUGGGUAUGUAUACAUUCUUCGUCCGUCAACUAAUAUGA
RNAcentral lists this ribosomal RNA (1650 nucleotides) under Triticum aestivum (bread wheat). RNAcentral describes it as "partial small subunit ribosomal RNA". Lineage: Eukaryota; Viridiplantae; Streptophyta; Magnoliopsida; Poales; Poaceae. The record is from RNAcentral.